UGCUAUUAAAGAAUGGUAUAAAGUAAGUAACCCUUCCCAUGAUAGUAUGUCUUUGGCUUUAUACAAGAUGGCGAUAGAUUUGGACAUUUUUGAUUUGAUAUAGUUUAUAUGUGCUUUCCAGCUUAGUUUAUUCUUUAUUCUAAAAUUGUUA
Long non-coding RNA from Thalassophryne amazonica, 151 nucleotides. RefSeq lists it as uncharacterized. Lineage: Eukaryota; Metazoa; Chordata; Actinopteri; Batrachoidiformes; Batrachoididae. The transcript is spliced from 3 exons. The record is from RefSeq and is a predicted model, not a curated record.